Non-coding RNA from Tribonema minus, 83 nucleotides. NCBI's taxonomy places the organism in Eukaryota, Xanthophyceae, Tribonematales, Tribonemataceae. The record is from the annotation of a GenBank genome assembly.
ACUGAGGUGGCCGAGUGGUCUAAGGCAUUGCACUUAAGCUGCAACGUACACUGUACUCGCGGGUUCAAACCCCGUCCUCAGUA